GAACGCUGGCGGCAGGCUUAACACAUGCAAGUCGAACGAUAAGCUCUCUUCGGAGAGUGGACAGUGGCAGACGGGUGAGUAACGCGUAGCAACCUACCUAGUAGUACGGAAUAACGCUUAGAAAUGAGUGCUAAUACCGUAUACGCCCUUCGGGGGAAAGAUUCAUCGCUAUUAGAUGGGGCUGCGUUAGAUUAGCUAGUUGGUGAGGUAAGAGCUCACCAAGGCGACGAUCUAUAGCGGGUCUGAGAGGAUGAUCCGCCACACUGGGACUGAGACACGGCCCAGACUCCUACGCGGAGGCAGCAGUGGGGAAUCUUGGAGCAAUGG
Molecule: ribosomal RNA, 327 nt
Filed under: uncultured Hyphomicrobiales bacterium
Lineage: Bacteria; Pseudomonadati; Pseudomonadota; Alphaproteobacteria; Hyphomicrobiales
Description: bacterial SSU rRNA
Rfam family: Bacterial small subunit ribosomal RNA
Source: RNAcentral